This 21-nucleotide microRNA is filed under the name Bos taurus (domestic cattle). RNAcentral's name for it is "bta-miR-2369". The record is from miRBase by way of RNAcentral. Lineage: Eukaryota; Metazoa; Chordata; Mammalia; Artiodactyla; Bovidae.
GUAGGUUGUGGGUUUUUGUUU